RNAcentral lists this ribosomal RNA (450 nucleotides) under Goniurosaurus splendens. RNAcentral describes it as "partial 16S rRNA". It matches the Rfam family "Bacterial large subunit ribosomal RNA", at positions 1970 to 2594 of the family's 2925-position model. Lineage: Eukaryota; Metazoa; Chordata; Lepidosauria; Squamata; Eublepharidae. The record is from RNAcentral.
UGUCUUCCAAAUAAAGACUAGUAUGAACGGCCAAAUGAGGGCCUAACUGUCUCCCAUGGUUAAUCAAUGAACCUGAUCUCUCAGUACAAAAGCUGAGAUAUACACAUAAGACGAGAAGACCCUGUGGAGCUUUAGCUACACUAUUAAAUGUUAAAACCACAACCAACCGGUAUAAAAUUUCAUUAUAAUAGACAACUUUAGUUGGGGCAACUUUGAAAACAAAAAUAACUUUCAAGUACUUGUAGGCCAUAAUCCUCAGCCAAGAACAACAAGUCUAGGCACAACAAACGACCCAGUAUAACUGAUCAACGAACCAAGUUACCCCAGGGAUAACAGCGCAAUCCUCUUUAAGAGUCCUUAUCGACAAGAGGGUUUACGACCUCGAUGUUGGAUCAGGACCCCCAAGUAGUGCAGCCGCUACUAACGGUUCGUUUGUUCAACGAUUAAAGU